GGUCAAGUGAAGAAGCGCAUACGGUGGAUGCCUUGGCAGUCAGAGGCGAUGAAAGACGUGGUAGCCUGCGAAAAGCUUCGGGGAGUCGGCAAACAGACUGUGAUCCGGAGAUGUCUGAAUGGGGGAACCCAGCCAUCAUAAGAUGGUUAUCUUGUACUGAAUACAUAGGUGCAAGAGGCGAACCAGGGGAACUGAAACAUCUAAGUACCCUGAGGAAAAGAAAUCAACCGAGAUUCCCUUAGUAGUGGCGAGCGAACGGGGACUAGCCCUUAAGUGGCUUUGAGAUUAGCGGAACGCUCUGGAAAGGGCGGCCAUAGUGGGUGAUAGCCCUGUACGCGAAAAUCUCUUAGUCAUGAAAUCGAGUAGGACGGAGCACGAGAAACUUUGUCUGAAUAUGGGGGGACCAUCCUCCAAGGCUAAAUACUACUGACUGACCGAUAGUGAACUAGUACCGUGAGGGAAAGGCGAAAAGAACCCCGGAGAGGGGAGUGAAAUAGAUCCUGAAACCGUAUGCGUACAAGCAGUGGGAGCCCACUUUGUUGGGUGACUGCGUACCUUUUGUAUAAUGGGUCAGCGACUUAUUUCAGUGGCGAGCUUAACCGAAUAGGGGAGGCGUAGCGAAAGCGAGUCUUAAUAGGGCGUCUAGUCGCUGGGAAUAGACCCGAAACCGGGCGAUCUAUCCAUGGGCAGGUUGAAGGUUGGGUAACACUAACUGGAGGACCGAACCGACUACCGUUGAAAAGUUAGCGGAUGACCUGUGGAUCGGAGUGAAAGGCUAAUCAAGCUCGGAGAUAGCUGGUUCUCCUCGAAAGCUAUUUAGGUAGCGCCUCAUGUAUCACUGUAGGGGGUAGAGCACUGUUUCGGCUAGGGGGUCACCCGACUUACAAACCGAUGCAAACUCCGAAUACCUACAAGUGCCGAGCAUGGGAGACACACGGCGGGGCUAACGCCGUCGUGAAAAGGGAAACAACCCAGACCGUCAGCUAAGGUCCCAAAGUUAUGGUUAAGUGGGAAACGAUGUGGGAAGGCUUAGACAGCUAGGAGGUUGGCUUAGAAGCAGCCACCCUUUAAAGAAAGCGUAAUAGCUCACUAGUCGAGUCGGCCUGCGCGGAAGAUGUAACGGGGCUCAAACCAUACACCGAAGCUACGGGUAUCACUUAGGUGAUGCGGUAGAGGAGCGUUCUGUAAGCCUGUGAAGGUGAGUUGAGAAGCUUGCUGGAGGUAUCAGAAGUGCGAAUGCUGACAUGAGUAACGACAAUGGGUGUGAAAAACACCCACGCCGAAAGACCAAGGUUUCCUGCGCAACGUUAAUCGACGCAGGGUUAGUCGGUCCCUAAGGCGAGGCUGAAAAGCGUAGUCGAUGGAAAACAGGUUAAUAUUCCUGUACUUCUGGUUAUUGCGAUGGAGGGACGGAGAAGGCUAGGCCAGCUUGGCGUUGGUUGUCCAAGUUUAAGGUGGUAGGCUGGAAUCUUAGGUAAAUCCGGGAUUCUAAGGCCGAGAGCUGAUGACGAGUUACCCUUUGGGUGACGAAGUGGUUGAUGCCAUGCUUCCAAGAAAAGCUUCUAAGCUUCAGGUAACCAGGAACCGUACCCCAAACCGACACAGGUGGUUGGGUAGAGAAUACCAAGGCGCUUGAGAGAACUCGGGUGAAGGAACUAGGCAAAAUGGCACCGUAACUUCGGGAGAAGGUGCGCCGGUGAGGGUGAAGCACUUGCUGCGUAAGCCCACGCCGGUCGAAGAUACCAGGCCGCUGCGACUGUUUAUUAAAAACACAGCACUCUGCAAACACGAAAGUGGACGUAUAGGGUGUGACGCCUGCCCGGUGCCGGAAGGUUAAUUGAUGGGGUUAGCUAACGCGAAGCUCUUGAUCGAAGCCCCGGUAAACGGCGGCCGUAACUAUAACGGUCCUAAGGUAGCGAAAUUCCUUGUCGGGUAAGUUCCGACCUGCACGAAUGGCGUAACGAUGGCGGCGCUGUCUCCACCCGAGACUCAGUGAAAUUGAAAUCGCUGUGAAGAUGCAGUGUAUCCGCGGCUAGACGGAAAGACCCCGUGAACCUUUACUAUAGCUUUGCACUGGACUUUGAAUUUGCUUGUGUAGGAUAGGUGGGAGGCUUUGAAGCGUGGACGCCAGUUCGCGUGGAGCCAACCUUGAAAUACCACCCUGGCAACUUUGAGGUUCUAACUCAGGUCCGUUAUCCGGAUCGAGGACAGUGUAUGGUGGGUAGUUUGACUGGGGCGGUCUCCUCCUAAAGAGUAACGGAGGAGUACGAAGGUGCGCUCAGACCGGUCGGAAAUCGGUCGUAGAGUAUAAAGGCAAAAGCGCGCUUGACUGCGAGACAGACACGUCGAGCAGGUACGAAAGUAGGUCUUAGUGAUCCGGUGGUUCUGUAUGGAAGGGCCAUCGCUCAACGGAUAAAAGGUACUCCGGGGAUAACAGGCUGAUACCGCCCAAGAGUUCAUAUCGACGGCGGUGUUUGGCACCUCGAUGUCGGCUCAUCACAUCCUGGGGCUGAAGCCGGUCCCAAGGGUAUGGCUGUUCGCCAUUUAAAGUGGUACGCGAGCUGGGUUUAGAACGUCGUGAGACAGUUCGGUCCCUAUCUGCCGUGGACGUUUGAGAUUUGAGAGGGGCUGCUCCUAGUACGAGAGGACCGGAGUGGACGAACCUCUGGUGUUCCGGUUGUCACGCCAGUGGCAUUGCCGGGUAGCUAUGUUCGGAAAAGAUAACCGCUGAAAGCAUCUAAGCGGGAAACUUGCCUCAAGAUGAGAUCUCACUGGGACCUUGAGUCCCCUGAAGGGCCGUCGAAGACUACGACGUUGAUAGGUGGGGUGUGUAAGCGCUGUGAGGCGUUGAGCUAACCCAUACUAAUUGCCCGUGAGGCUUGACCAU
This 2887-nucleotide ribosomal RNA is filed under the name Pseudomonas hefeiensis. Its description in RNAcentral is "Pseudomonas sp. FP205 23S ribosomal RNA". It matches the Rfam family "Bacterial large subunit ribosomal RNA". Lineage: Bacteria; Pseudomonadati; Pseudomonadota; Gammaproteobacteria; Pseudomonadales; Pseudomonadaceae. The record is from RNAcentral.